RNAcentral lists this ribosomal RNA (464 nucleotides) under uncultured bacterium. RNAcentral describes it as "partial 16S ribosomal RNA". It matches the Rfam family "Bacterial small subunit ribosomal RNA", at positions 28 to 507 of the family's 1533-position model. The record is from RNAcentral.
GACGAACGCUGGCGGCGUGCUUAACACAUGCAAGUCGAACGGAAAGGCCCUGCUUGCAGGGUACUCGAGUGGCGAACGGGUGAGUAACACGUGGGUGAUCUGCCCUGCACUUCGGGAUAAGCCUGGGAAACUGGGUCUAAUACCGGAUAGGAGCCAUUUUUAGUGUGAUGGUUGGAAAGUUUUUUCGGUGUAGGAUGAGCUCGCGGCCUAUCAGCUUGUUGGUGGGGUAAUGGCCUACCAAGGCGGCGACGGGUAGCCGGCCUGAGAGGGUGGACGGCCACAUUGGGACUAAGAUACGGCCCAGACUCCUACGGGAGGCAGCAGUGGGGAAUAUUGCACAAUGGGCGCAAGCCUGAUGCAGCGACGCCGCGUGGGGGAUGACGGCCUUCGGGUUGUAAACUCCUUUCGCUAGGGACGAAGCUCUUGUGACGGUACCUAGAUAAGAAGCACCGGCUAACUACGUG